RNAcentral lists this ribosomal RNA (494 nucleotides) under uncultured bacterium. RNAcentral describes it as "partial 16S ribosomal RNA". It matches the Rfam family "Bacterial small subunit ribosomal RNA", at positions 28 to 507 of the family's 1533-position model. The record is from RNAcentral.
GACGAACGCUGGCGGCGCGCUUAACACAUGCAAGUCGAACGGAAAGGCCUGCUUUCCCUUGUGGAUUGCGGGUACUCGAGUGGCGAACGGGUGAGUAACACGUGAGUGAUCUGCCCCCAACUUGGGUAUAAGCCUGGGAAACUGGGUCUAAUUCCCGAUAGGACUGCAGGGUGGUGCCUGUGGUGGAACACGAUUUUCUAGUGGUUGGGGAUGAGCUCGCGGCCUAUCAGCUUGUUGGUGGGGUAAUGGCCUACCAAGGCGGCGACGGGUAGCCGGCCUGGGAGGGUGGACGGCCACAUUGGGACUGAGAUACGGCCCAGACUCCUACGGGAGGCGGCAGUGGGGAAUAUUGCACAAUGGGCGGAAGCCUGAUGCAGCGACGCCGCGUGGGGGAUGACGGCCUUCGGGUUGUAAACUCCUUUCGACCGCGAGGAAGCCACCUGGUUGGAAGGGUGGUGACGGUAGUGGUAGAAGAAGCACCGGCUAACUACGUG